UUUUAGCUCUUACUGCGUCUAAGGGUUGGCCUGUCCAUCAAUUAGAUGUCAAGAAAGCUUUCUUACAUGGCACUCUUGAUGAACUGAGAUACAUGAAACAGCCUACUGGCUUUGUUCAUCCACAAUUUCUGUAAUAACCCAUAUAUUUUUUAAGGCUUAGUUGGUAAAUUAAAUAAAAGGAGAUAAAAUAAAAAAAAAUAGAAAAGAAGGAAUGUAGCCAAGCCCAAAAAGGAAAAGGAAAAGAAAAAAAAAAGACUUUAAAAAGUCUGAUGGCUAACGUGAAACACUACAAUCUGAAGGAACUAAAAAAAAAAAAAAAAGGACGAGAAAACAGAGGGAGAGAAAACCAGCAGGAAAAAAAAAAGGAAAGAGAGGGAGAAAAAGAGAAGAAAGGAGAGGAGAAAAAUAAGAACUUUCACCCCAAAUCAUCAAGUUUGAGGCAAUCCGGAGCCUCGAGAACGCAGUUUUGAUUUAUUGGGAAGUGUGCUUGAAUUGUGAAUUUGAGAUACUGUCGUUGAGAACGAGGCUGGUAAUUGAAGACUUCGUGAGUGAAUUCUGUUGCUGAGAUGGCUAAGAAACGCGCAUCUUCAUCUGCUAAACGUGGUGCUGGACAGAGUGCUACCCGCGGUGGUAGACAAGCUAGUGCUCAUCAGACUAGAGCUCAGACUAGGACUCAGGCCACUCCUCAGCCUGAAGUUGUGAAUGGGGGUCAGCCCCGAGUUGCGUCAGAGCAAGUGCAGGAACAAGUGGUUCAGAACAAGUCAGGUUAUUAUCCGAGGUGUUCUAACUGUGGUAGAAAUCACAGUGGUCGUUGCUUUGGGGCAGAUGGGGCUUGUUUUACUUGCGGUGAAAAGGGGCAUAUUGCUAAAUACUGUCCUAAAGCAAAUUCGGGUGCUAGUCGAGCUACUACACAGCCGCAGGGAACUACUACAGCUACACAGGGUCAGAUUCAGCCAGCUAGGACCGCUCCACAGGGUGCUCAUGGACAGGGUCGACAGGGUGCACAGGUUGCUCAGGGAGGGAGUGGACCGCCGAGAUUCUUUGCUAUGACAAGAUAGGAUGUCGAGGCAUCUAAUGCAGUAGUCACAGAUACUGUCGUUGAGAACGAGGCUGGUAAUUGAAGACUUCAUGAGUGGAUUCUGUUGCUGAGGUGAGCCACCGCAUUGUUCAUGAAGGCAGUCAUUUCAGCUUUAUCUAGUUUAUUUCUAGUUAUUUCUUUUAUUUUGGGUUUACAUGCCCGGCACUCAAACUCAUGUAACUCUGUUAGAUGUUCCAUGGUCUUAGCGUGGGAUAUGGGCUAGAGAUUCUUUUUAUCUUAGCGUUGGUUGGUUUUCAUAAAUCGAUUAUGGAUUUGGUUGGCGACUAUUUUGCAUUUUUAUCAUUAAUAACGUUGUGGGACCUGCACUUAUUUUCUUUUAGUGUUUUUGUAAAUGAUUGAGAGUAUGAUAUAUGGUUCGCCUGGCGGGUGGUGUUUGCUGGGUGCCAAUCAUGUCUAGCGGGUAUUUUGGGACGUGACAAAGUUGGUAUCAGAGCCUAGGCUUUAAGUCCCGGGUCAUGGAGUAGUGUUUAGUAGAAUCUUGUUCAUGGGUAUGUAGGCGCCCAUACUUAUGACCUUAAGGCUACUGGACAUCUAGCAUGUCUGAUUGCUCGCUUUUUAUUUACACCCAUCAUUCUAAGAUUGCAAUUCUUCUUCUCUAUGUAGAUAUUCUUCUCACUGCAUCAUCUACUAAAUUGCUUAACUCUUUGAUUAACACUCUUAAAUCUGAAUUUUCAAUGGACGAUUUGGGUUUAAUAAAUUACUUUCUUGGAGUUUCUGUCACUUUUAAAAAUGGA
RNA transcript from Lycium barbarum (goji berry), 1833 nucleotides. RefSeq lists it as uncharacterized. The record is from RefSeq and is a predicted model, not a curated record. The transcript is spliced from 5 exons. Lineage: Eukaryota; Viridiplantae; Streptophyta; Magnoliopsida; Solanales; Solanaceae.